Molecule: long non-coding RNA, 984 nt
Filed under: Carica papaya (papaya)
Lineage: Eukaryota; Viridiplantae; Streptophyta; Magnoliopsida; Brassicales; Caricaceae
Description: long non-coding RNA (CPAP_LNC004684)
Source: RNAcentral
UUACUCUCUCUAUCUCCAAGUUUUCUCAUCUGGUACAUCAAGAUGGAAAUUGUUGGAACUUAGUGCAUCGACCGUCACAAGGAAGUUUAUGAUAUCACUUAGGGAGACGUUGACAUCUUUGCUUUUGUCUCCUCUGAUGGCUCCUGUAACACCCUGCACCUGCGCACUUCAUGUGGUAUUAAGACUCCAUUUUAUUCGGGUCUUUGGCUAUUAAAUUUUUGUGGUGUAAUAUUAUUUUAUUUUAAUUUUUGUUAUUUUUUCUUAUUUUCGAAUAUUGUUAGAAAUUUUAUUAUAUUAUUUUAAUUUAUUUAUGUUAUGAAAGAAAUUAAAAAGUGUUGAGGAUUCCAAGAAAAUCCCUUAAAAAUGCCUUAAAUGAGAAUUAGGAAGGGAAAAGGGAGAGGAUAAUGUCACGGAAAAGCCAGCCCACGCAGGACGCCCACACGCCCAUCGACUAGGGCACCCAUGUCGCACCCAGUUUGUGGGCGAAUCCCGUGUGCAGACACAAACGUCGAGCACACUUCCCAGUGCGCACCUGUGUGAUGUGACAGUAAAGGAUGGCUUGCAUGCGCACGGAUCCCACCCAAUGAGCACAUCAGCGCGUUGUUCGGGCACAUCAGUGCGUGCACAGAAACCUCCGACCUACUUGCGCCAGUAUGUGGACUAGGUGCGCAGAAUAACCUGUGUGCACGCCAGGCUUAGCUUGCCGCGCAGCAGACUUGGAUGAUUCAAUGAUGAUGUCAUCAUUUUCUCUCUCUUCAUGGAUUUGUGACACUUAUUGCAAAUUCGACGAUCUUCUUUUUCUAUAAAUAAGGACCUUUUCCACCCUUCUUGACAUGGCAUCGGUAAUUAGUAAGGGAUUCAUUAUUUUCUUGCACAUUUUAAGAGAUAUUUCUAAAAAUAUAUAAAAAGUGAAUAUUGAUUUUAUUGCAUGACUUGUGGUAUGAUUUUGAGGGUUUGAUGAGUUAUUUAUUAUACAUGCAUUGU